GGAUUGGCUCUCUUCAGAGCCACCCAAAAUCUAAAAUUAGGUUUAAU
Non-coding RNA from Anisakis simplex (herring worm), 47 nucleotides. NCBI's taxonomy places the organism in Eukaryota, Metazoa, Nematoda, Chromadorea, Rhabditida, Anisakidae. The record is from Rfam.